RNAcentral lists this ribosomal RNA (465 nucleotides) under Vreelandella stevensii. Its description in RNAcentral is "partial 16S ribosomal RNA". It matches the Rfam family "Bacterial small subunit ribosomal RNA", at positions 338 to 795 of the family's 1533-position model. Lineage: Bacteria; Pseudomonadati; Pseudomonadota; Gammaproteobacteria; Oceanospirillales; Halomonadaceae. The record is from RNAcentral.
CCUACGGGUGGCAGCAGUGGGGAAUAUUGGACAAUGGGCGAAAGCCUGAUCCAGCCAUGCCGCGUGUGUGAAGAAGGCCUUCGGGUUGUAAAGCACUUUCAGUGGGGAAGAAAGCCUUGGGGCUAAUACCCUCGAGGAAGGACAUCACCCACAGAAGAAGCACCGGCUAACUCCGUGCCAGCAGCCGCGGUAAUACGGAGGGUGCGAGCGUUAAUCGGAAUUACUGGGCGUAAAGCGCGCGUAGGCGGUCUGAUAAGCCGGUUGUGAAAGCCCCGGGCUCAACCUGGGAACGGCAUCCGGAACGGUCAGGCUAGAGUGCAGGAGAGGAAGGUAGAAUUCCCGGUGUAGCGGUGAAAUGCGUAGAGAUCGGGAGGAAUACCAGUGGCGAAGGCGGCCUUCUGGACUGACACUGACGCUGAGGUGCGAAAGCGUGGGUAGCAAACAGGAUUAGAUACCCCGGUAGUC